This 334-nucleotide ribosomal RNA is filed under the name uncultured bacterium. Its description in RNAcentral is "partial 16S ribosomal RNA". It matches the Rfam family "Bacterial small subunit ribosomal RNA", at positions 338 to 669 of the family's 1533-position model. The record is from RNAcentral.
CCUACGGGAGGCAGCAGUGAGGAAUAUUGGUCAAUGGACGAGAGUCUGAACCAGCCAAGUAGCGUGAAGGAUGACUGCCCUAUGGGUUGUAAACUUCUUUUAUAUGGAAAUAAAAUGGUCCACGGGUGGGAUUUUGUAUGUACCAUAUGAAUAAGGAUCGGCUAACUCCGUGCCAGCAGCCGCGGUAAUACGGAGGAUCGGAGCGUUAUCCGGAGUUAUUGGGUUUAAAGGGAGCGUAGGUGGAUUGUUAAGUCAGUUGUGAAAGUCUGCGGCUCCACCGUAAAAUCGCAGUUGAAACUGGCAGUCUUGAGUACAGUAGAGCUGGGCGGAAUUC